RNAcentral lists this ribosomal RNA (498 nucleotides) under uncultured bacterium. Its description in RNAcentral is "bacterial SSU rRNA". It matches the Rfam family "Bacterial small subunit ribosomal RNA", at positions 899 to 1397 of the family's 1533-position model. The record is from RNAcentral.
ACUCAAAGGAAUUGACGGGGACCCGCACAAGCGGUGGAUGAUGUGGUUUAAUUCGAUGCAACGCGAAAAACCUUACCCACCUUUGACAUGUACGGAAGUCGCUAGAGAUAGCUUCGUGCUCGAAAGAGAGCCGUAACACAGGUGCUGCAUGGCUGUCGUCAGCUCGUGUCGUGAGAUGUUGGGUUAAGUCCCGCAACGAGCGCAACCCUUGCCAUUAGUUGCUACAUUUAGUUGAGCACUCUAAUGGGACUGCCGGUGACAAACCGGAGGAAGGUGGGGAUGACGUCAAGUCCUCAUGGCCCUUAUGGGUGGGGCUACACACGUCAUACAAUGGCUGGUACAAAGGGUUGCCAACCCGCGAGGGGGAGCUAAUCCCAUAAAGCCAGUCGUAGUCCGGAUCGCAGUCUGCAACUCGACUGCGUGAAGUCGGAAUCGCUAGUAAUCGUGGAUCAGAAUGUCACGGUGAAUACGUUCCCGGGUCUUGUACACACCGCCCGU